GCAAGCCGCUCGUGCGGCGACACCUCAUGAACCUCCCCAGGGCCGGAAGGCAGCAAGGAUAAGUGAGCUCUGUCGGGUGCACGAGCGGUGUCUUCU
RNAcentral lists this signal recognition particle RNA (96 nucleotides) under Dactylosporangium vinaceum subsp. matsuzakiense. Its description in RNAcentral is "Dactylosporangium matsuzakiense signal recognition particle sRNA small type". It matches the Rfam family "Bacterial small signal recognition particle RNA". Rfam says of the family: The signal recognition particle (SRP) is a universally conserved ribonucleoprotein involved in the co-translational targeting of proteins to membranes. RNAcentral also lists the same sequence under 2 other names. The record is from RNAcentral. Lineage: Bacteria; Bacillati; Actinomycetota; Actinomycetes; Micromonosporales; Micromonosporaceae.